RNAcentral lists this transfer RNA (71 nucleotides) under Poeciliopsis monacha (headwater livebearer). Its description in RNAcentral is "tRNA-Asp". It matches the Rfam family "tRNA". From Rfam's summary of the family: Transfer RNA (tRNA) molecules are approximately 80 nucleotides in length. The record is from RNAcentral. Lineage: Eukaryota; Metazoa; Chordata; Actinopteri; Cyprinodontiformes; Poeciliidae. RNAcentral also lists the same sequence under 3 other names.
AAGACACUAGUAAAAUACCAUUACAUUGCCUUGUCAAGGCAAAAUCGUGGGUUAAACACCCACGUGUCUUA